AGAGUUUGAUCCUGGCUCAGGACGAACGCUGACGGUGUGCUUUAGACAUGCAAGUCGAACGAGAAAGCCNNUCGGGGUGAGUACAGUGGCGAACGGGUGAGUAACACGUGGGUAACCUGCCCCUCGCAGAGGGACAACCGGGGGAAACCCCGGCUAAUACCUCGUACGCUUGCCGGACCGCAUGGCUCGGCAAGGAAAGGUAGCUUCGGCCAUCCGGCGAGGGAUGGGCCCGCGGUCCAUUAGCUAGUUGGUGGGGUAACGGCCCACCAAGGCGACGAUGGAUAGCUGGUCUGAGAGGACGAUCAGCCACACUGGGACUGAGACACGGCCCAGACUCCUACGGGAGGCAGCAGUCGGGAAUCUUGCGCAAUGGGCGAAAGCCUGACGCAGCAACACCGUGUGGGCGACGAGGGCCUUCGGGUCGUAAAGCCCUGUUGUUGGGGACGAAGGGCGAAGGGUUAAUAGCCCCUAGCCUGACGGUACCCUUCGAGGAAGCCCCGGCUAACUACGUGCCAGCAGCCGCGGUAAUACGUAGGGGGCGAGCGUUGUCCGGAAUUAUUGGGCGUAAAGAGCGUGUAGGCGGUUCGGUAAGUCUGUCGUGAAAACCUGGGGCUCAACCCCGGGCGUGCGGUGGAUACUGCCGGGCUAGAGGGUGGUAGAGGCGAGUGGAAUUCCCGGUGUAGCGGUGAAAUGCGCAGAUAUCGGGAGGAACACCAGUAGCGAAGGCGGCUCGCUGGGCCAUUCCUGACGCUGAGACGCGAAAGCAUGGGGAGCNCAGGAUUAGAUACCCNNGUAGUCC
Molecule: ribosomal RNA, 799 nt
Filed under: uncultured bacterium
Lineage: Bacteria
Description: bacterial SSU rRNA
Rfam family: Bacterial small subunit ribosomal RNA
Source: RNAcentral